CUUUAUUGGAGAGUUUGAUCCUGGCUCAGGACGAACGCUGG
Molecule: ribosomal RNA, 41 nt
Filed under: Paenibacillus pabuli
Lineage: Bacteria; Bacillati; Bacillota; Bacilli; Caryophanales; Paenibacillaceae
Description: partial 16S ribosomal RNA
Source: RNAcentral